UGGCUCUCGCAUCGAUGAAGAACGCAGCGAAAUGCGAUAAGUAAUGUGAAUUGCAGAAUUCAGUGAAUCAUCGAAUCUUUGAACGCACCUUGCGCUCCUUGGUAUUCCGAGGAGCAUGCCUGUUUGAGUGUCAUUAAAUUCUCAACCUUACUAGCUUUUAUAAGCUUUUAGUAAUGGCUUGGAGUUGGGGGUCUUUUGCUGGCUUCGUCAAGAGGUUUGCUCCCCUUAAAUGUAUUAGCUGGUACCCUGCGUGGAGCCAUCUAUUGGUGUGAUAAUUAUCUACGCCGUGGAUGUCCACUUUUAAUGGGAGUGCUGCUUCUAACCGUCCAUUCACUUGGACAAUUAAUGACAAUUUGACCUCAAAUCAGGUAGGACUACCCGCUGA
Molecule: unclassified non-coding RNA, 385 nt
Filed under: uncultured fungus
Lineage: Eukaryota; Fungi
Description: partial contains 5.8S ribosomal RNA and internal transcribed spacer 2
Rfam family: 5.8S ribosomal RNA (bases 1-133)
Source: RNAcentral